RNAcentral lists this ribosomal RNA (253 nucleotides) under uncultured bacterium. Its description in RNAcentral is "partial 16S ribosomal RNA". It matches the Rfam family "Bacterial small subunit ribosomal RNA", at positions 524 to 776 of the family's 1533-position model. The record is from RNAcentral.
UACGUAGGGACCAAGCGUUGUUCGGAUUUACUGGGCGUAAAGGGCGCGUAGGCGGCGCGGUAAGUCACUUGUGAAAUCUCUGAGCUUAACUCAGAACGGCCAAGUGAUACUGCAGUGCUAGAGUGUGGAAGGGGCAAUCGGAAUUCUUGGUGUAGCGGUGAAAUGCGUAGAUAUCUGGAGGAACACCGGUGGCGAAGGCGGCACCCUGGACCAAUACUGACACUGAGGAGCGAAAGCCAGGGGAGCAAACGGG